Molecule: ribosomal RNA, 340 nt
Filed under: uncultured bacterium
Lineage: Bacteria
Description: partial 16S ribosomal RNA
Rfam family: Bacterial small subunit ribosomal RNA
Source: RNAcentral
GGCCCGCACAAGCGGUGGAGCAUGUGGUUUAAUUCGAUGCAACGCGAAGAACCUUACCAGGGUUUGACAUAGUACGAAGUUUUUUGAAAAAAAACCACCUUCGGAACGUACAUACAGGUGGUGCAUGGCUGUCGUCAGCUCGUGUCGUGAGAUGUUGGGUUAAGUCCCGCAACGAGCGUAACCCUUGUUUUUAGUUGCCUUUUAUGGAACUCUAAAAAGACUGCGGUUAUAAACCGGAGGAAGGUGGGGAUGACGUCAAGUCAUCAUGCCCCUUACACUCUGGGCUACACACGUGCUACAUUGGGUAGAACAAUAAGUUGCUAAGUUGCGAAACCAAGCG